This is a long non-coding RNA of Oncorhynchus keta (chum salmon), 259 nucleotides long. RefSeq lists it as uncharacterized. NCBI's taxonomy places the organism in Eukaryota, Metazoa, Chordata, Actinopteri, Salmoniformes, Salmonidae. The transcript is spliced from 3 exons. The record is from RefSeq and is a predicted model, not a curated record.
GUCAGUAACAUACAACUACAGGUCAGUAAUAUACAACUACAGGUCAGUAAUAUACAACUACAGGUCAGUAACAUACAACUACAGGUCAGUAACAUACAACUACAGGUCAGUAAUAUACAACUACAGAUCAGUGAUAUACAACUACAGGUCAGUAACAUACAACUACAGGUCAGUAACAUACAACUACAGGUCAGUAAUAUACAACUACAGGUCAGUAACAUACAACUACAGAUCAGUAACAUACAACUACAGGUCAGUA